UACGUAGGUGGCAAGCGUUGUCCGGAUUUAUUGGGUUUAAAGGGUGCGUAGGCGGCCCUGUAAGUCAGUGCUGAAAUAUCCCGGCUUAACCGGGAGGGUGGCAUUGAUACUGCAGGGCUUGAGUGAAGUCGAGGUAGGCGGAAUUGACGGUGUAGCGGUGAAAUGCUUAGAUAUCGUCAAGAACCCCGAUAGUGAAGACAGCUGACUAGGCUUAUACUGACGCUGAGGCACGAAAGCUAGGGGAGCGAACGGG
RNAcentral lists this ribosomal RNA (253 nucleotides) under uncultured bacterium. RNAcentral describes it as "partial 16S ribosomal RNA". It matches the Rfam family "Bacterial small subunit ribosomal RNA", at positions 524 to 776 of the family's 1533-position model. The record is from RNAcentral.